RNAcentral lists this ribosomal RNA (582 nucleotides) under uncultured bacterium. Its description in RNAcentral is "bacterial SSU rRNA". It matches the Rfam family "Bacterial small subunit ribosomal RNA", at positions 202 to 804 of the family's 1533-position model. The record is from RNAcentral.
AAAAACUCCGGUGGUAUGAGAUGGGCCCGCGUCUGAUUAGCUAGUUGGCGGGGUAACGGCCCACCAAGGCGACGAUCAGUAGCCGACCUGAGAGGGUGACCGGCCACAUUGGGACUGAGACACGGCCCAAACUCCUACGGGAGGCAGCAGUGGGGAAUAUUGCACAAUGGGGGAAACCCUGAUGCAGCGACGCCGCGUGAGCGAUGAAGUAUUUCGGUAUGUAAAGCUCUAUCAGCAGGGAAGAAGAUGACGGUACCUGACUAAGAAGCCCCGGCUAACUACGUGCCAGCAGCCGCGGUAAUACGUAGGGGGCAAGCGUUAUCCGGAUUUACUGGGUGUAAAGGGAGCGUAGACGGCGGUGCAAGCCAGAUGUGAAAGCCCGGGGCUCAACCCCGGGACUGCAUUUGGAACUGUAUGGCUGGAGUGUCGGAGAGGCAGGCGGAAUUCCUAGUGUAGCGGUGAAAUGCGUAGAUAUUAGGAGGAACACCAGUGGCGAAGGCGGCCUGCUGGACGAUGACUGACGUUGAGGCUCGAAAGCGCGGGGAGCAAACAGGAUUAGAUACCCUGGUAGUCCACGCCGUA